This 433-nucleotide ribosomal RNA is filed under the name uncultured bacterium. Its description in RNAcentral is "bacterial SSU rRNA". It matches the Rfam family "Bacterial small subunit ribosomal RNA", at positions 771 to 1205 of the family's 1533-position model. The record is from RNAcentral.
ACCCAAUAGAUACCCCGGUAGUCCACGCCCUAAACGAUGUCGACUGGUUGUUGGGGAAGGCAACUUCCUUAGUAAACGAAAGCUAAACGCGUGAAAGUCGACCGCCUGGGGAGUACGGCCGCAAGGUUAAAACUCAAAGGAAUUGACGGGGACCCGCACAAGCGGUGGAUGAUGUGGAUUAAUUCGAUGCAACGCGAAGAACCUUACCUACCCUUGACAUGUACGGAAGCCCGCUGAGAGGCGGGUGUGCCCGAAAGGGAGCCGUAACACAGGUGCUGCAUGGCUGUCGUCAGCUCGUGUCGUGAGAUGUUGGGUUAAGUCCCGCAACGAGCGCAACCCUUGUCACUAGUUGCUACGCAAGGGCACUCUAGUGAGACUGCCGGUGACAAACCGGAGGAAGGUGGGGAUGACGUCAAGUCCUCAUGGCCCUUAU